Molecule: ribosomal RNA, 491 nt
Filed under: Yersinia enterocolitica
Lineage: Bacteria; Pseudomonadati; Pseudomonadota; Gammaproteobacteria; Enterobacterales; Yersiniaceae
Description: partial 23S ribosomal RNA
Rfam family: Bacterial large subunit ribosomal RNA
Source: RNAcentral
GCUGCUGGAGGUAUCAGAAGUGCGAAUGCUGACAUAAGUAACGAUAAUGCGGGUGAAAAACCCGCACGCCGGAAGACCAAGGGUUCCUGUCCAACGUUAAUCGGGGCAGGGUGAGUCGACCCCUAAGGCGAGGCUGAAAAGCGUAGUCGAUGGGAAACAGGUUAAUAUUCCUGUACUUGGUGUUACUGCGAAGGGGGGACGGAGAAGGCUAGGCUAGCCGGGCGACGGUUGUCCCGGUUUAAGCAUGUAGGCGGAGUGACCAGGUAAAUCCGGUUGCUUAUCAACGCUGAGGUGUGAUGACGAUGCACUACGGUGCAGAAGUAGUUGAUGCCAUGCUUCCAGGAAAAGCCUCUAAGCAUCAGGUAACAUGAAAUCGUACCCCAAACCGACACAGGUGGUCAGGUAGAGAAUACUCAGGCGCUUGAGAGAACUCGGGUGAAGGAACUAGGCAAAAUGGUGCCGUAACUUCGGGAGAAGGCACGCUGGCAUUA